AGUGAACGCUGGCGGUAGGCCUAACACAUGCAAGUCGAACGGCAGCACAGUAAGAGCUUGCUCUUACGGGUGGCGAGUGGCGGACGGGUGAGGAAUACAUCGGAAUCUACUUUUUCGUGGGGGAUAACGUAGGGAAACUUACGCUAAUACCGCAUACGACCUACGGGUGAAAGCAGGGGAUCUUCGGACCUUGCGCGAUUGAAUGAGCCGAUGUCGGAUUAGCUAGUUGGCGGGGUAAAGGCCCACCAAGGCGACGAUCCGUAGCUGGUCUGAGAGGAUGAUCAGCCACAAUGGAACUGAGACACGGUCCAGACUCCUACGGGAGGCAGCAGUGGGAAAUAUUGGACAAUGGGCGCAAGCCUGAUCCAGCCAUACCGCGUGGGUGAAGAAGGCCUUCGGGUUGUAAAGCCCUUUUGUUGGGAAAGAAAAGCAGCAGGUUAAUAACCCGCUGUUCUGACGGUACCCAAAGAAUAAGCACCGGCUAACUUCGUG
Molecule: ribosomal RNA, 492 nt
Filed under: uncultured bacterium
Lineage: Bacteria
Description: partial 16S ribosomal RNA
Rfam family: Bacterial small subunit ribosomal RNA
Source: RNAcentral